This 372-nucleotide ribosomal RNA is filed under the name uncultured bacterium. Its description in RNAcentral is "bacterial SSU rRNA". It matches the Rfam family "Bacterial small subunit ribosomal RNA", at positions 524 to 898 of the family's 1533-position model. The record is from RNAcentral.
UACGUAGGACCCGAGCGUUGUCCGGAUUUACUGGGUAUAAAGGGUGCGCAGGCGGGCUUGUGCGUCAGGGGUUAAAGACCUCGGCUUAACCGAGGGAGUGCCUUUGAUACGGCAGGUCUUGAAUGUGAGAGAGGAUGAUAGAAUUCCUGGUGUAGCGGUGGAAUGCGUAGAUAUCAGGAGGAAUACCAUUGGCGAAGGCGGUCAUCUGGCUCAUUAUUGACGCUUAGGCACGAAAGCGUGGGGAUCAAACAGGAUUAGAUACCCUGGUAGUCCACGCCCUAAACGAUGUAUGCUUGGUGUUGGGUAUUAAUAUUCAGUGCCGUAGGAAAUCUGUUAAGCAUACCACCUGGGGAGUACGAUCGCAAGGUUGAA